Molecule: ribosomal RNA, 424 nt
Filed under: uncultured bacterium
Lineage: Bacteria
Description: bacterial SSU rRNA
Rfam family: Bacterial small subunit ribosomal RNA
Source: RNAcentral
UAAGGAAUAUUGGGCAAUGGACGAAAGUCUGACCCAGCCAUGCCGCGUGAAGGAUUAAGGUCCUCUGGAUUGUAAACUUCUUUUCUCUGGGGCGAAAACCAGCUAUUCUUAGCUAUUUGACAGUACCAGAGGAAUAAGCACCGGCUAACUCCGUGCCAGCAGCCGCGGUAAUACGGAGGGUGCAAGCGUUAUCCGGAUUCACUGGGUUUAAAGGGUGCGUAGGUGGGCUAGUAAGUCAGUGGUGAAAUCCCCGAGCUUAACUUGGGAACUGCCGUUGAUACUAUUAGUCUUGAAUAUCGUGGAGGUAAGCGGAAUAUGUCAUGUAGCGGUGAAAUGCUUAGAUAUGACAUAGAACACCAAUUGCGAAGGCAGCUUGCUACACGGUCAUUGACACUGAGGCACGAAAGCGUGGGGAGCAAACAGG